Molecule: ribosomal RNA, 515 nt
Filed under: uncultured bacterium
Lineage: Bacteria
Description: partial 16S ribosomal RNA
Rfam family: Bacterial small subunit ribosomal RNA
Source: RNAcentral
GAUGAACGCUGGCGGCGUGCCUAAUACAUGCAAGUCGAGCGAAUGGAUUAAGAGCUUGCUCUUAUGAAGUUAGCGGCGGACGGGUGAGUAACACGUGGGUAACCUGCCCAUAAGACUGGGAUAACUCCGGGAAACCGGGGCUAAUACCGGAUAACAUUUUGAACCGCAUGGUUCGAAAUUGAAAGGCGGCUUCGGCUGUCACUUAUGGAUGGACCCGCGUCGCAUUAGCUAGUUGGUGAGGUAACGGCUCACCAAGGCAACGAUGCGUAGCCGGCCGGAGAGGGUGAUCGGCCACACUGGGACUGGGACACGGCCCAGACUCCUACGGGAGGCAGCGGUCGGGAAUCUUCCGCAAUGGACGAAAGUCUGACGGAGCAACGCCGCGUGAGUGAUGAAGGCUUUCGGGUCGUAAAACUCUGUUGUUAGGGAAGAACAAGUGCUAGUUGAAUAAGCUGGCACCUUGACGGUACCUAACCAGAAAGCCACGGCUAACUACGUGCCAGCCGCCGCGGUAA